This is a long non-coding RNA of Brachypodium distachyon (stiff brome), 682 nucleotides long. RefSeq lists it as uncharacterized. The record is from RefSeq and is a predicted model, not a curated record. Lineage: Eukaryota; Viridiplantae; Streptophyta; Magnoliopsida; Poales; Poaceae. The transcript has 2 exons.
UGAACAUGCUUCUAGCAUGAUGUGUUAGCCCUUCACCCUCCUUCAAAACGUCGGCACCAUCGGCCACACAAUUACUUAUCCAUCAAGGGCUGGAUAUUAUCUUCUGCUCCGCGCAAGACCGCUUCUUCGGCAAGGACAUGCAGGGUUAGGUUUUCCCGCUUUAUGUGACAACACUCAUAGGUACCCCCCCCACACGGUCUUAGAGGAAGGAAGGCGGAGAGAUCACAGUGAUGGUGGUGGCCGCGUCGCUUGGAGGUCAAGAUGAUGAAUUACUAUUUCCUCAUGCGUGAGGGAUGAAGGCAGAGAUAAAGCACGAAGUAUAUGCUCGAGCAUUUUCGCUAAGUGUACGGUGCGAUAUUCUUGCAUUCGAAGCAGGUCUUGAUCGGUGGGCGGGUGCUUUGAUCGGCGGAUAUGGAGAGUAUUAUUGUUCUUGAACAAAUAUUUAAUACAUUUGUAUCUUUUGAAGUUAAUUCGCAUGCAUAUCUUCUGAAGUUUAUAUUGGAUAUUGUAUAUACUAGCAACAUUUAAGAUUUCAUAUCUCCUUGGAUUUGAUAGUGUCAUGCAUGAAUAAUUUAUUGUUCAUCAUAUUUCGAGAGGAUUUAAACAUAACCUUUAGGCUUUGUUUGGAUGUAGACAUUGAGAAGCUUGGCAUUGAAUUGGCUCCAAUGCCAAUUUCAUGGGA